GGGAUAGAAUUCCAGGAGUAGCGGUGAAAUGCGUAGAUAUCUGGAGGAAUACCAAAGGCGAAGGCAGUCCCCUGGUCCGAUACUGACACUGAGGUACGAAAGCGUGGGGAGCAAACAGGAUUAGAUACCCUGGUAGUCCACGCCCUAAACGAUGUCGAUUAGCCAUUGGAAGGACCCCUUUUCCUUUCAGUGACGUAGCUAACGCGUUAAAUCGACCGCCUGGGAAGUACGACCGCAAGGUUAAAACUCAAAGGAAUUGACGGGGACCUGAACAAGCGGUGAAUGAUGUGGAUUAAUUCGAUGCUACGCGAAGAACCUUACCUACCUUUGACAUGGCCAAAGUUCUACCGAGAGGCGGAAGUACUCGUAAGAGGAUUGGCGCACAGGUGCUGCAUGGUUGUCGUCAGUUCGUGUCGUGAGAUGUUGGGUUCAGUCCCGCAACGAACGCAACCCUUAUCUUUAAUUGCUCCUAUUUUAACAGAGCACUUUAAAGAAACUGCCAAUGAUAAGUUGGAGGAAGGUGGGGAUCACGUCAAGUCCGCAUGGCCUUUAUAGGUAGGGCUUCACACGUCAUACAAUGGUUAGAACAAAGAGCUGCAAAUUCGUAAGAAGGAGCCAAUCUCACAAACCUAACCUCAGUUCGAAUUGCGGUCUGCAACUCGAGCGCAUGAAGCCGGAAUCGCUAGUAAUCGUGGAUCAGAAUGCCACGGUGAAUACGUUCUUAGGUCUU
RNAcentral lists this ribosomal RNA (730 nucleotides) under Candidatus Tremblayella phenacoccinincola. Its description in RNAcentral is "bacterial SSU rRNA". It matches the Rfam family "Bacterial small subunit ribosomal RNA", at positions 658 to 1382 of the family's 1533-position model. Lineage: Bacteria; Pseudomonadati; Pseudomonadota; Betaproteobacteria. The record is from RNAcentral.